This 386-nucleotide ribosomal RNA is filed under the name uncultured bacterium. Its description in RNAcentral is "bacterial SSU rRNA". It matches the Rfam family "Bacterial small subunit ribosomal RNA", at positions 30 to 418 of the family's 1533-position model. The record is from RNAcentral.
AUUGAACGCUGGCGGCAUGCCUUACACAUGCAAGUCGAACGGCAGCACGGGGCAACCUGGUGGCGAGUGGCGAACGGGUGAGUAAUGCAUCGGAACGUGCCAUUGAGUGGGGGAUAACGUAGCGAAAGUAGCGCUAAUACCGCAUAUUCUGUGAGCAGGAAAGCAGGGGACCGCAAGGCCUUGCGCUCUUUGAGCGGCCGAUGUCAGAUUAGCUAGUUGGUGAGGUAACGGCUUACCAAGGCGACGAUCUGUAGCGGGUCUGAGAGGAUGAUCCGCCACACUGGAACUGAGACACGGUCCAGACUCCUACGGGAGGCAGCAGUGGGGAAUUUUGGACAAUGGGCGCAAGCCUGAUCCAGCCAUGCCGCGUGAGUGAAGAAGGCCUC